GGUGACCUUGGAGGAGGGGUCACACCCGUUCCCAUUCCGAACACGGCAGUUAAGCCCUCCAUCGCCAAUGGUACUGCCAGGGCAACCUGGUGGGAGAGUAGGACGUUGCCGGGA
RNAcentral lists this ribosomal RNA (114 nucleotides) under Vicinamibacteria bacterium. The record is from RNAcentral. Lineage: Bacteria; Pseudomonadati; Acidobacteriota; Vicinamibacteria.